This 449-nucleotide ribosomal RNA is filed under the name uncultured bacterium. RNAcentral's name for it is "bacterial SSU rRNA". It matches the Rfam family "Bacterial small subunit ribosomal RNA", at positions 29 to 524 of the family's 1533-position model. The record is from RNAcentral.
AACGAACGCUGGCGGCAUGCCUAACACAUGCAAGUCGAACGAGACCUUCGGGUCUAGUGGCGCACGGGUGCGUAACGCGUGGGAAUCUGCCCUGGGGUGCGGAAUAACUCGGAGAAAUCCGUGCUAAUACCGCAUAAUGUCUUCGGACCAAAGAUUUAUCGCCCUGGGAUGAGCCCGCGUAGGAUUAGCUAGUUGGUGGGUAAAGGCCUACCAAGGCGACGAUCCUUAGCUGGUCUGAGAGGAUGAUCAGCCACACUGGGACUGAGACACGGCCCAGACUCCUACGGGAGGCAGCAGUGGGGAAUAUUGGACAAUGGGCGAAAGCCUGAUCCAGCAAUGCCGCGUGAGUGAUGAAAGCCCUAGGGUUGUAAAGCUCUUUUACCCGGGAUGAUAAUGACAGUACCGGGAGAAUAAGCUCCGGCUAACUCCGUGCCAGCAGCCGCGGUAAU